AAUUAAUCUAACGGCUGGACCAAACCCCAUCCCUCUUUCCUUUUAAACCAAAAAGAAAACCCUAAUCCUCACUUUUGGCCAAGGAAUCAGCCGCUCCAUCUUACUCUCUCUUUCUCGCUCCCCCCAUAAACUGACCACCGGCGGCGGACAAUCAAAUGCCACUGCCGCUGUCGCUUGUCACCGACGAGAUCACAAUUGGGAAUAGCUCUUCAACUACCGCCGCUGCAAAUCAUGGGAUUGAGCGAUGUGGAUCUUACAGAUGAUGGCGAUGGAGGAGGAGAUGAUGUUGGUGUUGAAGGCAUCAGCGGUUUAAUUUUUUGUACUUUUUUUUUUUGCAGCCAAGGUUAAGAUUGGAAUCAAUGGUUUUGAAAGAAUUGGUUGAUUGGUGGCCCGGGUAAUUCUUCAAAGGGUUGAUGUUGAGCUCGUUGCUGUUAAGGAUCCCUUCAUCACCGUCGACUACAUGGUUCAUCGCAACUAAUGAUAGUAAUAUGAAUUAAGUUAAGUGCUGCGGCUAGUGGACCCAUUUUGCCCAUGGAUGCAAGAAGACCACGUGAUGAUAGUGAUCCUAAUGAAAGUCGUUGAUUUUAUUGCAAAUUGUCUUGAAUAUUCAAUUAUGAUAAUGUAAUUGUGUGGUUGGAGUGAAUCUUAGAAUAUUGAAGGUUUUGUGUUUAAAUUUAAUUCUGGAAUUUGAAGAUACUAGUUAAUGUUGAAAAUUUGGAGUUUGAAGAUGCU
Long non-coding RNA from Capsicum annuum, 732 nucleotides. RefSeq lists it as uncharacterized. Lineage: Eukaryota; Viridiplantae; Streptophyta; Magnoliopsida; Solanales; Solanaceae. The record is from RefSeq and is a predicted model, not a curated record. The transcript is spliced from 3 exons.